RNAcentral lists this ribosomal RNA (468 nucleotides) under uncultured bacterium. RNAcentral's name for it is "partial 16S ribosomal RNA". It matches the Rfam family "Bacterial small subunit ribosomal RNA", at positions 28 to 507 of the family's 1533-position model. The record is from RNAcentral.
GACGAACGCUGGCGGCGUGCUUAACACAUGCAAGUCGAACGGAAAGGCCCUGCUUUUGUGGGGUGCUCGAGUGGCGAACGGGUGAGUAACACGUGAGUAACCUGCCCUUGACUUUGGGAUAACUUCAGGAAACUGGGGCUAAUACCGGAUAGGAGCUCCUGCUGCAUGGUGGGGGUUGGAAAGUUUCGGCGGUUGGGGAUGGACGCGCGGCUUAUCAGCUUGUUGGUGGGGUAGUGGCUUACCAAGGCUUUGACGGGUAGCCGGCCUGAGAGGGUGACCGGCCACAUUGGGACUGAGAUACGGCACAGACUCCUACGGGAGGCAGCAGUGGGGAAUAUUGCACAAUGGGCGGAAGCCUGAUGCAGCAACGCCGCGUGCGGGAUGACGGCCUUCGGGUUGUAAACCGCUUUCGCCUGUGACGAAGCGUGAGUGACGGUAAUGGGUAAAGAAGCACCGGCUAACUACGUG